Molecule: ribosomal RNA, 2926 nt
Filed under: Salmonella enterica subsp. enterica serovar Worthington
Lineage: Bacteria; Pseudomonadati; Pseudomonadota; Gammaproteobacteria; Enterobacterales; Enterobacteriaceae
Description: 23S ribosomal RNA
Rfam family: Bacterial large subunit ribosomal RNA
Source: RNAcentral
GGGUUGUGAGGUUAAGCGACUAAGCGUACACGGUGGAUGCCCUGGCAGUCAGAGGCGAUGAAGGGCGUGCUAAUCUGCGAUAAGCGCCGGUAAGGUGAUAUGAACCGUUAUAACCGGCGAUACCCGAAUGGGGAAACCCAGUGUGACUCGUCACACUAUCAUUAACUGAAUCCAUAGGUUAAUGAGGCGAACCGGGGGAACUGAAACAUCUAAGUACCCCGAGGAAAAGAAAUCAACCGAGAUUCCCCCAGUAGCGGCGAGCGAACGGGGAGGAGCCCAGAGCCUGAAUCAGCAUGUGUGUUAGUGGAAGCGUCUGGAAAGGCGCGCGAUACAGGGUGACAGCCCCGUACACAAAAGCGCAUGUGCUGUGAGCUCGAUGAGUAGGGCGGGACACGUGGUAUCCUGUCUGAAUAUGGGGGGACCAUCCUCCAAGGCUAAAUACUCCUGACUGACCGAUAGUGAACCAGUACCGUGAGGGAAAGGCGAAAAGAACCCCGGCGAGGGGAGUGAAAAAGAACCUGAAACCGUGUACGUACAAGCAGUGGGAGCACAGGUUUACCUGUGUGACUGCGUACCUUUUGUAUAAUGGGUCAGCGACUUAUAUUCUGUAGCAAGGUUAACCGUAUAGGGGAGCCGGAGGGAAACCGAGUCUUAAUUGGGCGUUAAGUUGCAGGGUAUAGACCCGAAACCCGGUGAUCUAGCCAUGGGCAGGUUGAAGGUUGGGUAACACUAACUGGAGGACCGAACCGACUAAUGUUGAAAAAUUAGCGGAUGACCUGUGGCUGGGGGUGAAAGGCCAAUCAAACCGGGAGAUAGCUGGUUCUCCCCGAAAGCUAUUUAGGUAGCGCCUCGUGAAUUCAUCUCCGGGGGUAGAGCACUGUUUCGGCUAGGGGGCCAUCCCGGCUUACCAACCCGAUGCAAACUGCGAAUACCGGAGAAUGUUAUCACGGGAGACACACGGCGGGUGCUAACGUCCGUCGUGAAGAGGGAAACAACCCAGACCGCCAGCUAAGGUCCCAAAGUCAUGGUUAAGUGGGAAACGAUGUGGGAAGGCCCAGACAGCCGGGAUGUUGGCUUAGAAGCAGCCAUCAUUUAAAGAAAGCGUAAUAGCUCACUGGUCGAGUCGGCCUGCGCGGAAGAUGUAACGGGGCUAAACCAUGCACCGAAGCUGCGGCAGCGACACUGUGUGUUGUUGGGUAGGGGAGCGUUCUGUAAGCCUGUGAAGGUGUGUCGUGAGGCAUGCUGGAGGUAUCAGAAGUGCGAAUGCUGACAUAAGUAACGAUAAAGCGGGUGAAAAGCCCGCUCGCCGGAAGACCAAGGGUUCCUGUCCAACGUUAAUCGGGGCAGGGUGAGUCGACCCCUAAGGCGAGGCCGAAAGGCGUAGUCGAUGGGAAACGGGUUAAUAUUCCCGUACUUGGUGUUACUGCGAAGGGGGGACGGAGAAGGCUAUGUUGGCCGGGCGACGGUUGUCCCGGUUUAAGCGUGUAGGCUGGUUUUCCGGGCAAAUCCGGAAAAUCAAGGCUGAGGCGUGAUGACGAGGCACUACGGUGCUGAAGCAACAAAUGCCCUGCUUCCGGGAAAAGCCUCUAAGCAUCAGGUAACAUCAAAUCGUACCCCAAACCGACACAGGUGGUCAGGUAGAGAAUACCAAGGCGCUUGAGAGAACUCGGGUGAAGGAACUAGGCAAAAUGGUGCCGUAACUUCGGGAGAAGGCACGCUGACACGUAGGUGAAGUGAUUUACUCACGGAGCUGAAGUCAGUCGAAGAUACCAGCUGGCUGCAACUGUUUAUUAAAAACACAGCACUGUGCAAACACGAAAGUGGACGUAUACGGUGUGACGCCUGCCCGGUGCCGGAAGGUUAAUUGAUGGGGUCAGCGCAAGCGAAGCUCCUGAUCGAAGCCCCGGUAAACGGCGGCCGUAACUAUAACGGUCCUAAGGUAGCGAAAUUCCUUGUCGGGUAAGUUCCGACCUGCACGAAUGGCGUAAUGAUGGCCGGGCUGUCUCCACCCGAGACUCAGUGAAAUUGAACUCGCUGUGAAGAUGCAGUGUACCCGCGGCAAGACGGAAAGACCCCGUGAACCUUUACUAUAGCUUGACACUGAACAUUGAGCCUUGAUGUGUAGGAUAGGUGGGAGGCUUUGAAGUGUGGACGCCAGUCUGCAUGGAGCCGACCUUGAAAUACCACCCUUUAAUGUUUGAUGUUCUAACGUGGACCCGUUACCCGGGUUGCGGACAGUGUCUGGUGGGUAGUUUGACUGGGGCGGUCUCCUCCUAAAGAGUAACGGAGGAGCACGAAGGUUGGCUAAUCCUGGUCGGACAUCAGGAGGUUAGUGCAAUGGCAUAAGCCAGCUUGACUGCGAGCGUGACGGCGCGAGCAGGUGCGAAAGCAGGUCAUAGUGAUCCGGUGGUUCUGAAUGGAAGGGCCAUCGCUCAACGGAUAAAAGGUACUCCGGGGAUAACAGGCUGAUACCGCCCAAGAGUUCAUAUCGACGGCGGUGUUUGGCACCUCGAUGUCGGCUCAUCACAUCCUGGGGCUGAAGUAGGUCCCAAGGGUAUGGCUGUUCGCCAUUUAAAGUGGUACGCGAGCUGGGUUUAGAACGUCGUGAGACAGUUCGGUCCCUAUCUGCCGUGGGCGCUGGAGAACUGAGGGGGGCUGCUCCUAGUACGAGAGGACCGGAGUGGACGCAUCACUGGUGUUCGGGUUGUCAUGCCAAUGGCACUGCCCGGUAGCUAAAUGCGGAAGAGAUAAGUGCUGAAAGCAUCUAAGCACGAAACUUGCCCCGAGAUGAGUUCUCCCUGAGACUUAGAGUCUCCUGAAGGAACGUUGAAGACGACGACGUUGAUAGGCCGGGUGUGUAAGCGCAGCGAUGCGUUGAGCUAACCGGUACUAAUGAACCGUGAGGCUUAACCUUACAACGCCGAAG